GUGGGUAUAGCUCAGUGGUAGAGCACGUGCUUAGCAUGCACAAGGUCUUGGGUUCAAUCCCCAGUCACG
Molecule: transfer RNA, 69 nt
Filed under: Camelus bactrianus (Bactrian camel)
Lineage: Eukaryota; Metazoa; Chordata; Mammalia; Artiodactyla; Camelidae
Also listed under: 1 other name
Rfam family: tRNA
About the family: Transfer RNA (tRNA) molecules are approximately 80 nucleotides in length. Their secondary structure includes four short double-helical elements and three loops (D, anti-codon, and T loops).
Source: Rfam by way of RNAcentral